Molecule: small nuclear RNA, 106 nt
Filed under: Erinaceus europaeus (western European hedgehog)
Lineage: Eukaryota; Metazoa; Chordata; Mammalia; Eulipotyphla; Erinaceidae
Source: RNAcentral
AAGCUUAUUUCAACAGCACAUAUAUUAAAACUGAAACAAUACAGAGAAGAUUGUCAUGACCCCUGUGCAAGGAUGACAUGCAAUUUGUGAGCAUUCCACAGGUUUA